AGAGUUUGAUCCUGGCUCAGAACGAACGCUGGCGGCGUGCUUAAGACAUGCAAGUCGAACGGUAAGGCACCUUCGGGUGUACACGAGUGGCGCACGGGUGAGUAACGCGUGGGUAAUCUGCCUUCGGGUUUGGAAUAACUUCGGGAAACUGGAGCUAAUACCGAAUAAGACCACGAGGUCCUUGGACCUUGCGGAAAAAGGUGGCCUCUUCUUGAAAGCUAUCGCCGGUUGAUGAGCCCGCGUCCCAUUAGCUUGUUGGUGAGGUAAAAGCUCACCAAGGCAUCGAUGGGUAGCUGGUCUGAGAGGAUGAUCAGCCACACUGGAACUGAGACACGGUCCAGACUCCUACGGGAGGCAGCAGUCGGGAAUCUUGGUCAAUGGGGGAAACCCUGAACCAGCAACGCCGCGUGAGGGAUGAAGGCCCUCGGGUCGUAA
RNAcentral lists this ribosomal RNA (435 nucleotides) under uncultured delta proteobacterium. RNAcentral's name for it is "bacterial SSU rRNA". It matches the Rfam family "Bacterial small subunit ribosomal RNA", at positions 8 to 428 of the family's 1533-position model. Lineage: Bacteria; Deltaproteobacteria. The record is from RNAcentral.